RNAcentral lists this long non-coding RNA (1074 nucleotides) under Gigantopelta aegis. Its description in RNAcentral is "uncharacterized LOC121389991, transcript variant X2". The record is from RNAcentral. Lineage: Eukaryota; Metazoa; Mollusca; Gastropoda; Neomphalida; Peltospiridae.
UCACAGGUUUUCCCAACCUGUCAAUUUCGGCGUGACAAAUGGCCCGGUCUUGCGGAUUUGUUGUGAUUUUAUCGAAAUUAGGAAGGAAAACAUCACCCAGAUGUAACUGUCGGUCACCAAAGUGGAAUCAGAAAGGCCGUUAAAAAAUAUUCCAUUAAAGGUGACAAUCUUUAUUAUGAAGCCAAGGGAAAACACCAGCUGGUAUGCCAUUCCAGAGAAGAGCGUGUGUCUGCCCUUAAGCACUGCCAUGAUGAACCAGGAACUGGUGGACAUUGGGGCAGAAACAAAACGCUGGACAAGAUACAGGAAUCCUAUUACUGGCUGGGGAUGGCAAAGGAUGUUGAGAAAUGGAUCAACGAAUGUGACCAGUGUCAGCGCCAGGAAAGGCUAAAGACAAUAGCACCAAUUCUGCAUCCAAUCGAGACCGAUUCUCCUUGGGAUUUAAUAGGGAUAGACCUGAUCGGCCCCUUUCAGAAAACAGAAGGUGGUAACAAUGAAUACAUAGCAGAGCAGAGCGCGAGAAACAUGUGCCUGAGGGUCUUGCUGAGGGUCUUGCUGAGUGGAAGAGUGUGCAAUAUCUCUGCAGCCAGCAGUUGGAUGGGAACAGUUGCAGUAUAUUCACAUGCAUGAAUGCUGAAUGCCUUGUAAAAGAUGUUUGCCCGACAGUCAUGCGCCAGCACCACGUUCCAUACUAUCGGGAGUAUGUGAUGAAGACACUGCUAGCUGCCAGGAACACAGACAACUGCGACUCCAAACUGUGUUUGCGUCCACAACUAAAAUGCUUGGAAUGGAAGGGUUGUGAUGGAUGUUUGAUGUGGGAGCAUUCUGUUUGCACGAUAAUAACAGACAAGCACCCGUACUGUGGACUUUGUUUGCCAUUGCACUACAAAAACUAAACAUUCUCAUUUCUUGAAUUUGCACUUUGAAUUCUUAUUGCUAUUUUCCUAUAGUCAUAUUAAGUUUUAAUUUGAAUGCAUACACAAUUACUGACACUUUAACAAAUGAAAAACACGUAAAAAUUUGAUUAUUCCUGCUAACUGGGGGCAGCCAUUUUGACCGGUGGUAUAGCUUGGG